This 1046-nucleotide long non-coding RNA is filed under the name Capsicum annuum. RNAcentral's name for it is "long non-coding RNA (CANN_LNC014636)". Lineage: Eukaryota; Viridiplantae; Streptophyta; Magnoliopsida; Solanales; Solanaceae. The record is from RNAcentral.
UUGCCGAGGCCACUGCUCCAGAUGCAGCCUAUGCAAGUGAAGCAAAAGCAGUAAACAGUGAUAUGGAGAUUAGCUAAUAACUGUAAUUAUUUCCCAGUAGUGGUAUUAACACAUGUAAUUCAGGUAGUUUUGUCGUGCGCUAUUUCUACCUGCCUACACAAGAUUUUGCAGGUGGAUGUGGAGUGCUACGUCCAUUAAGAUUCUCAGGUGGCGGGACGAGUUGCAAUGCUUGAAAUAUUUGAUUUGUGGGUCAGUGCUAGUACAACAGAACUUUUUUUUUUGGGGGUAUUAUAACAAUUAAAGCUUGAUAAUAUGUCCAUAUAUAGUGGAAUACUAAUUAAUUCUCCUCUCUAGUGUGUUCUCAUAAAAAGUUAAAAUACAGAACAGAAAAAUCCUUUAGCCUUUUUCUCAUUAGUGAAAAGCAAGUGUGGUAAGUGGUAACACAUUAUCAGACACCAUUCCUAGAGAAUAAUUUAAUAUCUUUAUUUUCUUCCCUUACACUUUAGUUGAGAUAAAUUUUCAAUAUGACAAUCCAUAUAUGUAUCAGGUGGAUGUCACUUGGAAACCAAUUAGAAGGGGUAAGAUUAGUUGAUGAGGGGCUUAGGGCGCGGUUCAAGGCUGCAUAUCCAGAUGUGGAGGUUCAGCCUGCAUCACCUCCAAGGCCAUCUGCUAUGAAAGUAGACUCAAGUUCUAGUCAAAUGAGGAAUACAUUUGCUGGAGGGGAAUUAAAGGCUGCAGAGACCCAGGUUGCCGAGGCCACUGCUCCAGAUGCAGCCUAUGCAAGUGAAGCAAAAGCAGUAAACAGUGAUAUGGAGAUUAGCUAAUAACUGUAAUUAUUUCCCAGUAGUGGUAUUAACACAUGUAAUUCAGGUAGUUUUGUCGUGCGCUAUUUCUACCUGCCUACACAAGAUUUUGCAGGUGGAUGUGGAGUGCUACGUCCAUUAAGAUUCUCAGGUGGCGGGACGAGUUGCAAUGUGCCUGCAGUUAACCUUCUAAAAGGAGCCCUACAGUAGUCUUUAAACUUGUCAGAAAUGUUUACUUGUCCU